GGCUUUUUGAAUAUAAUUUAAGGUCUAACCUGCCCAAUGAUAAUAUAUUAAAUGGCCGCGGUAUUUUGACCGUGCAAAGGUAGCAUAAUCAUUAGUUUUUUAAUUGAAAGCUUGUAUGAAAGGUUUGAUGAGAAAAGAGCUGUCUCUAUUUGAAUUUUAUAGAAAUUUAUUUUUAAGUUAAAAAGCUUAAAUUAGUAUUAAAGACGAGAAGACCCUAUAGAGUUUUAUAUUUUUGUAAAAUUGUUAUGUUUUAGAAUUUUCUAAUAGUUUUUAGUAAUUAUUUGGUUGGGGUGAUUUAAAAAUUAGUUGAACUUUUUUAAAUAAAAUUUCAUUGAUUUGUGAAUUUUUGAUCCUUUUUAAAGAUUAAUAGAUAAAAUUACCUUAGGGAUAACAGCGUAAUUUUUUUUAGAGUUCUUAUCGAAAAAAAAGAUUGCGACCUCGAUGUUGGAUUAAAAUAAAUUAUUGGUGUAGGAGCUGGUAAGUUUAGGUCUGUUCGACCUUUAAAUUUUUACAUGAUCUGAGUUUAAACCGGUGUAAG
This 538-nucleotide ribosomal RNA is filed under the name Echinodera ifranensis. RNAcentral describes it as "partial 16S ribosomal RNA". It matches the Rfam family "Bacterial large subunit ribosomal RNA", at positions 1819 to 2625 of the family's 2925-position model. The record is from RNAcentral. Lineage: Eukaryota; Metazoa; Arthropoda; Insecta; Coleoptera; Curculionidae.